CCCCCUCCCAUGUCCAAAGAACAGAGCAAGCACCACGCCCCCUCGUGGACUUAAACCAACUCACGGCAUCCCUGGCAUCCGCAAUUCAUCUUCAUCCUCCCAAAUCAUCUGCGGAACAACUUCUUCCCAGCGAGUGAGCAUCUCUUCCUUAACCGAACUCAAAGAUUACCGCCCCAUCGUUCCAGAUUUCUUCUCACAAAUCAUCUCCCUUGCUCCACAUUCGCAUGGGAUCCCCUGUGUCCAAAAACAGAGCAAAGUCUCAGCGACCAUGGUCCACUCCAUCCUCCCAUGGAUAAACCCAGCAUCCCAACCGUCUUCCUUUCCUCCCGUAUCCCAUGAACGAAACCAAUCUCCCCAGCAUCCACAUCAUCUUCCUAGAUCUUAUCCCAUUCGGAACGGAAUUCCAUCACCCGUGGAUCAAGCCAGUGAACCUUCCCAGAUUUCCCUCGCGCCCGUGUUCACCUUCCACGUCCACGAACCAAGCCAACAGCCGCUUGUAUUCAGCCUCAUCCACGUAUUCACCCCAGAUCCUAGCUCCGAACCAGUCAGUGUUUCGGAUUGAGCUUAUCCACAACCGCAAAUCAAAGAUUCAUCCUCUUCCCCUGUU
This 607-nucleotide long non-coding RNA is filed under the name Phoenix dactylifera (date palm). RNAcentral describes it as "long non-coding RNA (PDAC_LNC011256)". Lineage: Eukaryota; Viridiplantae; Streptophyta; Magnoliopsida; Arecales; Arecaceae. The record is from RNAcentral.